CGCGUAGGUGGCUAAUUAAGUCAAAUGUGAAAUCCCCGAGCUUAACUUGGGAAUUGCAUUCGAUACUGGUUGGCUAGAGUAUGGGAGAGGAUGGUAGAAUUCCGCGUGUAGCAGUGAAAUGCGUAGAGAUCUGGAGGAAUACCGAUGGCGAAGGCAGCCAUCUGGCCUAAUACUGACGCUGAGGCACGAAAGCAUGGGGAGCAAACAGGAUUAGAUACCCUUGUA
This 225-nucleotide ribosomal RNA is filed under the name uncultured Acinetobacter sp. RNAcentral describes it as "partial 16S ribosomal RNA". It matches the Rfam family "Bacterial small subunit ribosomal RNA", at positions 568 to 792 of the family's 1533-position model. Lineage: Bacteria; Pseudomonadati; Pseudomonadota; Gammaproteobacteria; Moraxellales; Moraxellaceae. The record is from RNAcentral.